This 465-nucleotide ribosomal RNA is filed under the name uncultured bacterium. Its description in RNAcentral is "partial 16S ribosomal RNA". It matches the Rfam family "Bacterial small subunit ribosomal RNA", at positions 28 to 507 of the family's 1533-position model. The record is from RNAcentral.
GACGAACGCUGGCGGCGUGCUUAACACAUGCAAGUCGAACGGAAAGGCCCUGCUUGCAGGGUACUCGAGUGGCGAACGGGUGAGUAACACGUGGGUGAUCUGCCCUGCACUUCGGGAUAAGCCUGGGAAACUGGGUCUAAUACCGGAUAGGAGCCAUUUUUAGUGUGAUGGUUGGAAAGUUUUUUCGGUGUAGGAUGAGCUCGCGGCCUAUCAGCUUGUUGGUGGGGUAAUGGCCUACCAAGGCGGCGACGGGUAGCCGGCCUGAGAGGGUGGACGGCCACAUUGGGACUGAGAUACGGCCCAGACUCCUAAGGGAGGCAGCAGUGGGGAAUAUUGCACAAUGGGCGCAAGCCUGAUGCAGCGACGCCGCGUGGGUGAUGACGGCCUUCGGGUUGUAAACUCCUUUCGCUAGGGACGAAGCUUUUUGUGACGGUACCUAGAUAAGAAGCACCGGCUAACUACGUG